UCCUAGUUAACCUAGGCAGUCUCGUUAUAGGGCCCAGCUUCACCUGUUGGCAAAUAACGACAAGGGUUGCGCUCGUUGCGGGACUUAACCCAACACCUCACGGCACGAGCUGACGACAGCCAUGCAGCACCUGUGCAAUUGUCUCUUGCGAGAAAGCUACAUUUCUGUAGCGGUCAACUGCAUGUCAAGCCCAGGUAAGGUUCUUCGCGUUGCAUCGAAUUAAACCACAUGCUCCACUGCUUGUGCGGGUCCCCGUCAAUUCUUUUGAGUUUUACCCUUGCGAGCGUACUCCCCAGGCGGUAUACUUAUCGCGUUAGCUACGGCACAGACAGGGUUGAGCCUAUCUACGCCAAGUAUACAUAGUUUACGGCAAGGACUAC
This 380-nucleotide unclassified non-coding RNA is filed under the name uncultured Chlamydiales bacterium. RNAcentral's name for it is "contains 16S-23S intergenic spacer region". Lineage: Bacteria; Pseudomonadati; Chlamydiota; Chlamydiia; Chlamydiales. The record is from RNAcentral.